UUUCGGCGGCCAUAGCGGGAGGGUCACACCCGGUCUCAUUUCGAACCCGGUCGUUAAGCCUCCCAGCGCCGAUGGUACUGCCUCCAUGGUGCGGGGUGGGAGAGUAGGUCGCCGCCGGACU
This 121-nucleotide ribosomal RNA is filed under the name Nocardiopsis potens. Lineage: Bacteria; Bacillati; Actinomycetota; Actinomycetes; Streptosporangiales; Nocardiopsidaceae. The record is from RNAcentral.